GUAAUUAAACAGAUCCGGUUCUGCAAAUCAGGUCGAAAUAUCAGAGGUUGAAUUCAAACACGAAACGACGCAUUUUCAUAGAAUCGGUCUUGUCUUACGUUCGACGCCGACUGUACAUCGAAUCGUAUAACACUUUUACGUCGAUUUGGCGUUCGUUUCCAGUACGCGUUUCCGAGCUCUUUAGGAGAUGUACGAGAAUAGCUUGAUUUUAAUCUCCGUCGUUUCAUAAUAUUAUCAUAUACGUCACUCAUUAUUAAGAAGCCCCAAGCUACUUCGUGUUUCCCGCGAUCUCGUGGCGUUUGUAUGCGUAACAAUAUUCUGUGAAGUACAUCGUUCGUGAUAGUAGUGACGCAGUCUAAACAGAUGAUCAAAGUGCAGCUUUAAUCACGUGAAUUAUAGUUCUCUCUGCAUCGCGUCGUGCGCAUUUCCAGCCGCCGAUAGCAUUGCCUUGUAUACGUGACUCGAGCUGCUGCACUGUCGUGAUACAUAAGGCGUACCUAAACACAAUUAUAUCUGAAUUGAAGAAAAUUAGCAGGAAACUAACAAAAAUCUACAACAGCUACAUAAAAAGUUACAGAAUUUAAUGAAGGAUCGAAUACCUUUUUUGGAUGAUUUUUGGAUUUGAAUAUCUUCGGAGCGGUGACAAAAUGUUCAAAGGCACGCGAGGCGUAGAUUGUGUGAAAAUUUGUGUGAAAUCUCGUAAACAGUCGGGUUUUGUAGAAAACCAGUUAGGAGUGCGUCGCAAAAUUCUGUUCUCUCGUCGCGAGAGACCUUCAAAGACGUUUCACACAUUUAGUAUUUUCUUGCUUGUCCCGAUUGAUAUCGUUUUAUUGGUUUUACUCGGACGCAGUUUCGCGCGCGAGAAUAAGCAACUCCUUGUCCUCGUGUACGAACAAAACUGAUACGUCGAUUUUCGGAUGCUAGCGCUAAUUUCCCCGGAGAUCAAGUAGCAUAAAAGUUUGCAUCUAUAUUGGCAGGUACGUUCGGAUUAUCUAAAAACUAGGACAUUUAAUCCGAUAUCUGAUUCAUCGAGUUCCCCUCCUCCUCUCCCCUGGGUUUCGUCGAUCUCAAAAUGAACGGUAGUCAUUGUUAAAAAAAUAAUUUGCCGCAUUACAAAAAAACUGAACUGACCAGUCACAGGUGGCUGUCAGCUCCAAUUUUAUGCUUGGGAUUUCAAUGCUUCCAACCGUUAUUCGUUGUACUAAAAUUAGAAUCUUAAUUAUGCAGGUAAAUAUUUCACAAUGAACGAAUGAAAAUGUAACUGUUUAGUCGAAUGAACGUCGUGAAUAUAUCUCUAUGUGUUGACUUUAUUUAUCAUCUAUUAAUCGAAUUUAAUUUUGCUUGGCAUCGAAUACUCGGAUAUUGGUAUUUUUCUUGGUUUAUUUUUCCUUAGAACUAUAAUUUUGAUUGAAGAGGCAUAGAAUACCUCAUAAAAUGCUCUGUCUUUUUAUAUUGGAAUGUAGGUAAAAUAUAAUAAAAUAUAGUGAAAUAAAAUAUAUAAAUAAAGUAUAAUAAAACAUACUACACAGGCAAAAUAUAAUAUUGUAUCGUAAG
Molecule: long non-coding RNA, 1554 nt
Organism: Hylaeus anthracinus
Lineage: Eukaryota; Metazoa; Arthropoda; Insecta; Hymenoptera; Colletidae
Exons: 3
Source: RefSeq, a predicted model, not a curated record